AUGGCUCCUGGAAGGAGUUAUCUCUGAGUCAUGAGGCAAGACUUUGAUGGGCCUGUUAACAGGAGAUAAAGAAAAAAACCAAUGCCCCUCCUGGUUUCAGCAGCUCUUGAGGAUGGGAAUAGAAUAUCUAGUAGUAGUAGGUUACCUAUUGUAACCUAGGACAGAAGUCAAACACCAACUCAAGAGUCAGAGCACAUAACUCCCUAAAAUAACCCAGGAGUGUUGUGCCAGCUACAGCCACAGAGAUCAGUGACAUGGGGACACAAACUCCAGACCUGACCAGUAAAACAGCACUUUUUGCAACAGAUUUUCUGCAAGAGCACCUCCAUCCUCACAGCGUUUGGUACUCCUGGUGAUGACACCCAGUGCAACAUAGAAAGCCCACAGUCUGUCCUGGUCCAGGGCUGCAUCUGACCUCUGUACGAUACUUGUCACAAAAGUAAGGGUGAGGUGAA
Long non-coding RNA from Passer domesticus (house sparrow), 455 nucleotides. RefSeq lists it as uncharacterized. The record is from RefSeq and is a predicted model, not a curated record. NCBI's taxonomy places the organism in Eukaryota, Metazoa, Chordata, Aves, Passeriformes, Passeridae. The transcript has 2 exons.